CUGUGAGGUGCUGGGUGAUAUAGCCAGCCCUGCCUGCCCACCAGUGCCUGCAGGCCCAGUUUCUGACUCCAGGAGUACACGGGAAACUCCCAACGCUGGCCUCCUGACAUGAGCUUCAUCUAGUCUUCCAGAUCUCUCUGAGUUACAGCUCAAGUCCAAACCUUCUUCCAUUUCCCCAAGGGUGGUGAGGUUGAGUGGGCCCUGCUGGGGAAAUGAAAGAGCAAAUUCCAGGCAGUCUCUGCCCUGAAGAGACUGAGUGUGCAAGUCUGAGUCCUGGGAGAGCCCUGCCCGCAGGCCGCUGAGGACUGAGCCCUGGUGCCAGGCAGCCGGCUCUCCCACUCUCAUCUUGCAGGAGUGGGACCCCAAGGCAAACCCCUGGAAGCUGGAGCAAGAUGAGUCCUGGAGGAAUUGGGGGAAGGCCAGGACACAGAUGCAGGACGGAAGGGCACACUUUCAAAAGAACGCUUCCUGAGGGCUUUAUCCUCGGGCAGCUUCCUAACCCCAGGAGACCUGCAGCUGGGCAGCGCAGCACCCAGGGUUGAAACUUCUUAGGGGUGGGUAAGGGGACAAUGAGCUGGGUUCUUGAAAGUGGGGUCAUGAGGUCAUGGGGGACAGUGGGUGGACUGUGGAUAGGAUGGAGCUGUAUGGAGGCCAGCACAUGUUCCAGAGCCAAAAAGUCUUCUUUCUUCCUUCGGCUGGAUUUCUCUGGCAGCUCUCCACCUGCUCUCUGAGGUGAUGAAGCACAGAGGCGACCCACCCUCCCUGCUUCCUGGUAUGGCUGCUGGGCCCCUGUAAAGGCCUCAGCCCUCUCCACCCACCUCCAGGGGCCAAGGAUUUCACUUUAGUCCAGCUCCUUCUUCCCCAAGCCCAGGGCCUCUGUUUCCUCUUAGAGUCUCCACCCUUGGGGGCUCCCCUUGGGCUAGAUCUGGGAAGGAUACCAGAAGGAG
This 947-nucleotide long non-coding RNA is filed under the name Marmota monax (woodchuck). Lineage: Eukaryota; Metazoa; Chordata; Mammalia; Rodentia; Sciuridae. The record is from RNAcentral.